Molecule: ribosomal RNA, 331 nt
Filed under: Salmonella enterica
Lineage: Bacteria; Pseudomonadati; Pseudomonadota; Gammaproteobacteria; Enterobacterales; Enterobacteriaceae
Also listed under: 1 other name
Description: partial 23S ribosomal RNA
Rfam family: Bacterial large subunit ribosomal RNA
Source: RNAcentral
AAAGCUAUUUAGGUAGCGCCUCGUGAAUUCAUCUCCGGGGGUAGAGCACUGUUUCGGCUAGGGGGCCAUCCCGGCUUACCAACCCGAUGCAAACUGCGAAUACCGGAGAAUGUUAUCACGGGAGACACACGGCGGGUGCUAACGUCCGUCGUGAAGAGGGAAACAACCCAGACCGCCAGCUAAGGUCCCAAAGUCAUGGUUAAGUGGGAAACGAUGUGGGAAGGCCCAGACAGCCAGGAUGUUGGCUUAGAAGCAGCCAUCAUUUAAAGAAAGCGUAAUAGCUCACUGGUCGAGUCGGCCUGCGCGGAAGAUGUAACGGGGCUAAACCAUG